UAAGCCUCGCACAGGGAGGCCGCGGUCCUUGUUCCAGAGACGGGAGCAGCCGUGGAUGUGCAGGUGGCCGCGUUCUGUGUCUCAGGCCGAGUGUGGCCUCCUGGGCAGUGUGACGUCACCUGUGGGCGUGGCUGCCGGGAGAUGCACCCGCCAGCUGACCCCAGCUUUUCCUUUCUUUUUUCUAGCCUCUUAGGCAGUCCUGGCCAGCUGCACAGGUAGGAGUGCAGGCUCUGGGCCUCUGCGCUGAGGCUGCUCUGUCCGGUCACCGCCAGCUGUCCAGAGACAAGGCCCCUUCCACCCUGCGCUGUCCAUUCUCCAGGGGCAGAGAAUCUUCUUUGGCUUCCAGGGUUUCACACCCACCUCGCUCUCAGAGCACUGCAGCUCCUGGGGCGUCUGUCGCCUGUCCGCUCUGCAGGGUGAGGGCCACAGCGGCGUGCUCCCCGCUCUGCGGGGCCCAGGUCUGAGGUUGUGGGCAGGUGGAGAACGGCAGGGCGACAGUGAGGACCUGGAAAGCCUGACCCCGGGGGCGGCUGUCGAAGCUACAGCUCUGCUGCAGCAGGCGGGCGCAUACCGGAGCGCCGGCGGGAGGGUCUUUAUCUGUCCGGUGUCAUGGCUUUGUUUGCGUAUUUCCUGUGUGCUGUUGCCGAAGCGGGGUGCACCAGGGGUGGAUCAGAGAGAUGCUUGUCAUGGGGGUGCCCGUCACAGAGCACUCCUGUGACCUUGACGGUGCCUGCCUUGUCUCUCGCUUGUUUAUGGAAGCACAGCACAGCAGAGGAGGCCGUCCGGAGGGGACCCAGUGUGACCCUCACGCCUGCUUGUCAUCGCCCUCAGAAGGGCUGUGGAUCCCGUGUUCCCGGGUCAGCGGCCACGUGCACUCCCAGGACUGCUUCAGGGGCUGCAGCUGUGCCUCAAUUCAGCUCAUGGCGCCAGCACCUUCAGGCAGCUAGGUGCAGAGGCCCCAGCAGAGAACUGAUUUGGUCCGCGGAGGUAACACAGAGAGUGGUUACUUCUGGAGCAUCCCCAGGACUGAGGAGCAUAAAUGAGAACAAAACUCCAAUCUGGACAGAUCCAGGAGUUCCCCAGAGACCACAGGGGUGUCCCCAGGACCCCACAACCCCCUCCCAGGACAAGGACCCGGAGGCCUCUGGGGUCUGCAGGCAGCGCCUGUGUGCGGCAGCCUUGGGACCCUGUGCGGAUGAACUGGACAAGUGCAGAUGCCAGCUGUGGUGAGGGCUCUAGAAGCCCUGUGAGUCUGCUGAGGAUUUUCACCCUGAGCAGUGUGGACAAAGCAGCCAUUUCAAAAGGAAGAGCUCUAAACCCUCAGCUGAUGUCCAGUGUGCUCAUGGGCCACGCCAUUUACUUUCCCCCUGUGGUGCAGCCCCCCACCAUAUCGGAGGACCGGGUGCCACCCUGAAGCUGUGACCGUGACUCCAGGGUGGGGUGGACCACUGCUUCCGGUCACUGCCCUGGCCACUUCCGUGAGAACCACUUCUGACUCUGGCUGGACAGGCCAGCCACCAUGGCGCCUGCCGGCAGCUCUGCUGGACCCUGGGAACCUGCGAGUGCCAUGCACAACAUGGCAUUUCAGAUAAAAUUAACAAAA
This is a long non-coding RNA of Fukomys damarensis (Damara mole-rat), 1603 nucleotides long. RefSeq lists it as uncharacterized. The transcript has 3 exons. The record is from RefSeq and is a predicted model, not a curated record. Lineage: Eukaryota; Metazoa; Chordata; Mammalia; Rodentia; Bathyergidae.